UGAGGAAUAUUGGUCAAUGGGCGGAAGCCUGAACCAGCCAAGUAGCGUGCAGGAUGACGGCCCUAUGGGUUGUAAACUGCUUUUGAAGGGGAGUAAAGUGAGUGACUUGUCAUUCAUUGCAAGUACCCUUGGAAUAAGGACCGGCUAAUUCCGUGCCAGCAGCCGCGGUAAUACGGAAGGUCCGGGCGUUAUCCGGAUUUAUUGGGUUUAAAGGGAGCGUAGGCUGCCCGGCAAGCGUGCUGUGAAAUACAGUGGCCCAACCACUGGACUGCAGCGCGAACUGUCGGGCUUGAGGGCGCACGACGCAGGCGGAAUUUGUGGUGUAGCGGUGAAAUGCUUAGAUAUCACGAAGAACCCCGAUUGCGAAGGCAGCUUGCGGGAGCGCGACUGACGCUGAAGCUCGAAAGUGCGGGUAUCAAACAGGAUUAGAUACCCUGGUAGUCCGCACGGUAAACGAUGGAUGCCCGUUGUUCGGCUUUCGGGCCGAGCGGCCAAGUGAAAACRUUAAGCAUCCCACCUGGGGAGUACGCCGGCAACGGUG
RNAcentral lists this ribosomal RNA (541 nucleotides) under uncultured bacterium. RNAcentral's name for it is "bacterial SSU rRNA". It matches the Rfam family "Bacterial small subunit ribosomal RNA", at positions 355 to 896 of the family's 1533-position model. The record is from RNAcentral.